UACGGAGGAUGCGAGCGUUAUCCGGAUUUAUUGGGUUUAAAGGGUGCGUAGGCGGUCCGUUAAGUCAGCGGUAAAAUACGGGGGCUCAACCUCCGCCCGCCGUUGAAACUGACGGUCUUGAGUGGGCGAGAAGUAAGCGGAAUGCGUGGUGUAGCGGUGAAAUGCAUAGAUAUCGUGCAGAACCCCGAUUGCGAAGGCAGCCUGCCGGCCCCACACUGACGCUGAGGCACGAAAGCGUGGGUAUCGAACAGG
Molecule: ribosomal RNA, 252 nt
Filed under: uncultured Bacteroidales bacterium
Lineage: Bacteria; Pseudomonadati; Bacteroidota; Bacteroidia; Bacteroidales
Description: partial 16S ribosomal RNA
Rfam family: Bacterial small subunit ribosomal RNA
Source: RNAcentral